Molecule: long non-coding RNA, 6010 nt
Filed under: Sus scrofa (pig)
Lineage: Eukaryota; Metazoa; Chordata; Mammalia; Artiodactyla; Suidae
Description: lncRNA (ENSSSCG00040046603.1)
Source: RNAcentral
UUUCCAAAUAGAACAGACUUACAUAAUAGAAGUAUGUAAUGGAAUACAACAUAAAAAAGCCUUAUCACCCCCAUGAAUUUACCCCCUCACACACACACAAAUAAAAGAUAAAAGGAAAUAUACAAAGAAAUAUCUUUUUUUUUUUUUGGUCUUUUUAAGGUCUGCACCCAUGGCAUAUGGAGGUUUCCAGGCUAGUGGUCAAAUCCGAGCUGUAGCUGCUGAGCUGUAGCUGCUGGCCUACACCACAGCCACGGUAACAGUAACUCUGAUCCAAGAGGUGUCUGUGACCUAGAACAAGGCGUUCUAGAUGUAAAUCUAGAUGUAAAGUUCUAGAUGUAAACCUAGAACAAGGCAUUCUAUAUGUAAACCUAGAACAAGGCAUUCUAGAUGUAAACCUAGAACAAGGCAUUCUAGAUGUAAAGAUGUCAUCCUUUGUGCUAAAGGGGGGCCUGAAAAAUGGCGACUGGAAAAAGCCCAACUGUUUGCCUUGUACCUCACACCUCCAUGUUUCUUCUCCCAUUCUCCCCCAUCUUCUGGUUCUCCGCAUCAAAUCUGGAUAUCUCUCUCCCUUAUUCUGCUUCUUGCUGACCCCUUGCUUGCUCCUUCUAUUCUAGCAGACCUCCUGAUCCCUGGCCCUGUGCACCACCCCCAUCCCUGGUGACUAGGACAACUCUGGCACAGGCUGGUUUUGGAUAUGGUGUCUACCUUAGGAAGGACCAGUCACCAGGCCAAUGGAUGCUGACCUGAAAAGACUCAAUACCUGCCAGCAUCACGAGCCCUCCCCUGCCUCCUCCAGGGAGGAAUCUGGAUGGGUCAUCUCCUUUUUAGAGUCAUUUUCUCCUUGCUACCUGGACAACAAACUAGCCAAGUGCUCUCCUGAAGAAGAGGAUCAGAGGCACCUUUUCAUUCUGAUGAUGGAUGGGUAAGAUGAAUGGCAAAAACACUGUACAAGAGUACAAAGAGAAGGGACAUGGAUCUGGCUGUGUAAAAAUAAGACAAAACUAUGCAUUUCUGAAUAUAGAAGAACAGCUCCAAAAGUAAAAGGACACAACAGAUUAUGAAAAAUAUCUUCAGUAAAUAUUAUAAAAGUGACAUUGAGAACAGAGAAAUUGGUAAGGAAAAGUUUAAGGGCCUAUCUGAUGAUUAAGCAAGGAUAUUAAAAUACAAAUCAUUAUUAAAAAUGUAAAUAAUAAACAAACAUUUGGAAGGGCGCUCACAUUCACAGUCACUAAAAUAUGUAAAUUUAAGCAACAAGCAUACAUUUGGGGCUUCUGUCUACAUCUUCCAUAACUAAACCAAUUUUUGGGGUCUUUUUAGGGCUACAAGCGUGGCAUGUGGAGAUUAAUUGUUACUUAGUUUAACUGUUUUAUGGCAACGUGAAUUUCUGUCUUUGCCAAACACACUAAGGUACUAAAAUAUUAUGAGCCCAGUGAUUUUAUAUUACUAUACCGAGUAAAACUACCUGGGCUAAUUGCAAACACAGUAUUAUUUUACAGCAUAAUUUAGCAAUGGAUGUUAUGCUAAAUCCUUUAACAUUUGGUUUUCACAAAUAUAUGAGAAAAAGACAAGAACACUCUUCGAAUCAAGUAAGAAGUAUUACCUCAUAAUAAAGAUAUAAAAUUAAGGAAUAACAGUAACCUCAUGCUGUUUUAUGAGGCAAUAAUCUAGUUCCCAGCUCUAUUUCAAGACCAUUCCCCCAGAAAAGGUGAAUUUAAAAUAGUAAUAAUAGCAACUUCACUCAUUCCAAGUUAGACUAUUUCUCCUAAAGUUAGGUUCUCAAUAUACAGAAAAUGAAUCAUAUCCUUUUCUUUAUUCUCUGCUCUAAAUGUAAGGUGGAAACUCCUCUUCUUAGAAAAUCAGAUUUUCAAAAAUCACAAUCCUUCUAACUUAAAUAUAUAAUGAAAUUUAUGCACGAAAUGUUUAAAAUAACUCUCAAAAAUGGAAUGAGGGACUGAGGCGUAGGCCAGGUGGUAGAGACAGCAAGGGACCCUGUGCCUUUAAGAAAGAGAUAUUGAAUGAAGUCAAAGGAGUUCCUAGAAUUUGUGUGAUGUCACCCUAGUCUUCUUUCUGAUCAAACCAUCAACAAAAAUUAGAUUGUCCAGGCAUGCUUGAUUCUGGCUAAAUAAACACAAACAUGGGGGAGGGGGGGCUCUCCGUGCCAAGGUGGGCAUAUGACAAAGACAGAAGCUGCAGGGAUGCUCCUCCACCUCUGGAUUAUAGACACAUAUGGACACAUACGGCAAGGCCCCCACUGGUCAUCAAAGCUGGACCUCUGGGCUUUGUCAUCAACUCCUUGCCCACUCCUCUCCAUUCAAUACAUGGCCACGUCCUAUCAACACUUCACAGUUUUCAUUCAAAUCUCUCCAUGUUCCUCUCCUCACUGCUUCAAGCCAUGGUCAUCCCUAGACUGGACCAACGGCCUCCUAAGGGCCCUCCAGUCCUGCUCCCUGGACCACACGGUUCACAGGGCAGAGUGAUGAUAAUUUUAAAAUAAAGCCCUGACUGUAUUCUCUUAAAACAAUUCAUAACUCUACCUCUUCUUUAGGAUAAACCAGAAGUUCUUUCAUUGGCCCCACUUGCAGACAUGGCACUGCAUCUCUGCCAAAAUGUCCCAAGAUGGGUAACCAGUAAUCAGGUGCUUUUUGUUCCCUGCAGCCACUGACCAAGGUGGGCAUUCCCAGGGAGAGCUCCAUCGUCUGUCUCCCUGAUGUCCAGUUCUUGUUCCCCUGUCUUUGUCAUCCUCUCACCCUGUCGCUAUCAUGGCACUGCCCUGCAACCAAAGGCUGGGCAUUCCACCAGGAGCCUCCUAUUGGUGGGGGCGGCAGGGGCGGGGGGGUGGUGUACACAGCAGAGGCCAAGUUUGCUUCCUGCUGAAGUGCAAAGAAGAAAAGAGGAGGAAAGAGACUGCAGUCCCAUGUUCCAAAUGUCUAGUGUUUCCCCUAGGGAAAGAUGUAAAGAUUGAAGGCUGCCCAAACUCCUGUUCCGGCCCCUGUGCAGGCUCUGGAAUGGGGAUGGAGGUGCAUGGACAGUCCCGUCCAUAACCUCUGGCACAGCCCCCUUUCAAUCUAGGUAGGGGCUUUGGAGAAUGUCUGUACCCGUGCAGUUUCCUGGGCCAAGGGAGAGUGUCACGCCACUAUAUUCUAUCAUCCAGAACAGCUAUGCUAUUAUUUGACUUGCAGAUUAUCACAUUGCAAGUGAAUUUUCAAAAAUAUUUAUGUACCAAAUAAAGGCUUGCUUGCACAGGGGUAUAUAUCCAUCUAUUACACUGAAUCAUAUUCAAUUUAUAACACAUUAGGUUCCCCAGGGCUUUUCCAGUGACAUCAAAUUGUUUCAUUCUAAUGACUUGUUACAAUCCCAAGUGCUCAGGACGGGGGGGCGGGGGGCCUGGGGAAGUAGGCUGGUCCUCCUUCAGUGGUAAAAUCUCCAGGAUAUAAAACUUGGGAGCUCUUUACCACCAUGUGUAAAAAGCUGGUUGGCUACAGAGAGAUAGAAAGGAGCUGACCCAGAAAGAGAAGCAAAAGCGGGAGAUCACAAGGAAGUCCCGGCAGAACCAAAGUCCCUGGAUCUUGUUACUCCUGAAGUCUCACCAUCUCUCCAUCCUUCCUGCCGCUUCAUUGUUCAAUUCUUCCCUGGAUUCCAUGAGCAAUCUUCAUAAUCGCCAAUUAAAUUCUCUCCUUCACUAAGCAUACGGCCUCACAUAAAACUGCAAUUGUAUAGGAAGUCUAACAAUUUAUAUUCCCAUGGCACGAUUGAGAUAUAAGAACUGGGAUCAACUGUCAAGAAAGGGAUUGCUUUCACGUCCCCUGCACCAGGUUACCCUCACUGCCCUCCAAAUUUCAUUAAUGGGUCUGGGAAGCUGGGUCAGGCACCGGCUGGUUCCAACUGCUCAGGCAACACGCCAGAGAGGGAAGCCAACAGCACAAAGAACACCUAGCUCCAAUUCUAUGGCCAACUGUUCAGAGAGCUAAGAUGGGCAUUCUGUGGCCAUGCACGUGACUCGCAUCCCUGCUUGGACCAAAAGAAAACAGCAAAGGUGGCCAAGAAACAGAUCUAGAUGAUCAGUAAAGCCUGACUUCAAUCUCCCUAAAUGAAGCUGAGCUGCAAAGUGGAUACUGAGCUAUUUUUGAACUGUUUAUAAAGACAGGACAUGGACUUUACAAAAUGGUCCAUUUAACACGAAACGUUUGCAAAUGAUGGGGCUAAUUUCUCAUGCUAAAAAAUUAUAACAAGCUGACUUUCAGGAUAACCACUGGGGUCCUUAGUGACAGGCUCACUGGAUGGCAGUAAUCUUUCUGGAAUUAUAAAGUAAUCACUUAAUUUUUGACAAGCAGAGCCAGGAAAGGUUUUCGAUUUUGUGUUUGCUAAUUGUCAAUGGUUGGUUAGCAAGUGGGUUACUUAGAAAACACAGAUGCAGUUGUAACCGGAUGAUCUCAGAGAAACAGCUGGAAGAAUUCUGAGCUUGGGCAAUUUUUGAUACACCUACACACUCACACUAACUCUAUAAACCAACUUUCCUUCUCACGCGCUGCCAUCGUUGCCCCUCCCAAUCUAAGCUUCGCACUGACUCUGCAGAGCUUUCUCAGUGCAGGAUCAUGGUUCGCCUGGCCAGCUCUCCGGUAGCCUGGCAGAAAAGAACUAUUCGAGCCCUUUCUUACAAGCAGUCUGUUUUUUUCUCAGCCAUAAACCUCUUCUCCAUAUCUAAGAACCCUUUGUGGUAAAAAAAUAUAUGAUCGCAUGCAUUACUUAACACACAUCUGCUGACUUUACACACUCCUUGAGGCAAAUGCGUUUCAAUUUGAAAGAAUUUAAGAAUCUAGCUAAGUGAAGUCAGCUAUACAAUGAGACACCAACAUCAAAUGCUUUCACUGACAUGUGGAAUCUGAAAAAAGGACAGAAUGAACUUUUUUGCAGAACAGAUACUGACUCACAGACUUUGAAAAACUUACGGUCCCCAAAGGAGACCAUUUGGGGGGUUGGGGGAAUGCACUGGGGUUGUGGGAUGGAAAUCCUAUAAAAUUGGAUUGUGAUGAUCAUUGUACAACUAUAAAUGUAAUAAAUUGAGUAAUAAAAAAUUUUUAAGUAAAAUAAAGUGUAUUAUCCUCAUCAAAAAAAAAAAAAAAAUCUAGCUCCUAAGUGUAGUAUUCAACUCUUGAAACCCUCAAAGUCUAAAACAUGGCUUGUUGGGGGAAAUACAAAUUUAGGGAUUCCAAGUAAAGACUUCUGGAAUGAAACUAUGUGAGUCCUUGCUUUAUUUACUACUGGAUAACUGUGCAGCCUUGGGAUAAUUCAUCAACACCUCUACAUGUAAUUCUCUUCAUCCAUAAACCUAGGACAAUAAUCAUACCUGUAUUAUAUUUUGUUAGGAUUAAAUGCAACCAGGUAUUUCAAAAACGUAAGCCAUUUACUAGUGACAGAAUGAAAGAACAUUUCUGCUUUUUUAUUUCACUCUUCACACAGUGAAUUUUAAUUCAUCUUUCAUUUUUUCUAUACUGAAGGAUUAUACCUAUGCAAUUUCUUUGAAAAUUGUUUUUAACUCUGCUCAACUAAAAACUAUUAUAUUAAUCAGUUAUUUCCAAGAACUAGAGGUUAGCAGGCAAAAGUCACUAGCCUUUGACCAAUUCUCUGAUUUCAACUUAGUUUUUCUAAAAAUGAGUAACUAUUUGAUUUUUGAUAUCUUGAUCAAAUCACUAGCCUUUACGCCUUUUGAUUUUGCCAUUCAACAUAACAUCGAAGUUGGGAUUGGUUUCUUUAGCAGUGAGAGAUUGAUGCUGCCAGUAACAGAAUUAUAGAUGGGUAUAUGAAAGAGAAGGGAACACAUUUUUAGAAAAUAAAGCGUGAGAAAGGAAUGAGCAUUCAGAGUUAAUGAGAUGCUAAGAAGUCUUGAAUUGGCAAAAGCAGGAGUAAAGUGCUACAUAUCUGUGAAUAAAUACAACUGGUUAUUAGUUUAUUUUGAUAGCUUUAAAACACAAAAAAAGAAUGGCAAAUAUGACGUAACUGCAAUGACACAUCU